RNAcentral lists this unclassified non-coding RNA (2691 nucleotides) under Hevea brasiliensis (rubber tree). Lineage: Eukaryota; Viridiplantae; Streptophyta; Magnoliopsida; Malpighiales; Euphorbiaceae. The record is from RNAcentral.
AAAAAAAAAAACAAAAAAGCUGUUUAAAUUACGACAAGAAGCAAUUUUGCACCUAAUUCAUUACUGUUCAAUUGCGAGAGAGUAACCUAGACUUUCAGGUUCCUUCUUGGGAUACAAUACAUUUUCGACUGAACCCAAAUAGUUUUCUUUGUAAGAGGUCUAAAACAUGGACAAGAAGCCUCGAGUCUUCAAGUCCUAUUUAAAACAGUUCCUCCAAAAAGAGAGGAAUUAUUCAUUUGUAGCUGUGCCAGUGAAAUUAUUCACGGAAGUCAUCCAUUGUGAUUUGAAAUUGCUAACAAAACACAAAGCUUAUCGAAAAUUUUCCACUUAUUUGAAACAUAAUUUACAAUUGACUGUUCCCAUGUAAUUCUUAUAACAAAACCCAACAUAAAUUACACUAUUCCAAGAAAUCAAAAUUGGGCAUUCAAGGUUAUCUAUAAUCUGAACUUGUACUCACCUAAUUACCUAGAAUGGGAUUCCUACCUUCGUCAAUUUCAAUGAGGAGGACAUUCUCUGGAUCUGAACCGCUUGGUCCCUCGGCAUAAAGGGUGGGAAGGUAAGCCUUGUAUGCUGGCAGGUAACGAGAAACAAAAUCUUUAACCUCCUCGUCAGUCAUCCCAGGUUUGCCGGCCUCCCUCAUGGCAAUCUCUGCCUACAAAACCCACAACUUUGGUCACAGACUAAGCUUUGGAUAGGAUUUGAUUGUUACUCUAAAGUAUAUAUGAUAUCAACCUGUAAACGCCACUGGUAGACACAACUGGGAUCCUGAAUCUUGAUGACUAUCCAUGCAUUUAUAAACUUGUCCCAUGCAUCAUAAUAGGCUUCAAGAUUCUUAUUCACAGUCUCCAGCUGUGGAUCCACAGCUUGGACGACUUCUGUUGGAAGGGGUCUAAAACCAAGCAUCCAGCCUUCAAACAGAACCACCUAAAGAUCAUAAAAAGGCACAUAUAAAUUUAUUAAUACAGGGGAAAUGAAUAUUUACUAAAUAUUCUGUGUGAUAUAAAAGUAAAGCCAGAUAUAAUCACAUUGAUAUUGGAUCCAGCUUACAGAUCCAAUUUUUCAUAUCUAAACCUACAUGAUACUAUUAUUUUGGACUGCAUAAGUACUUCCAAGUUCUAACAUUAUGGUGAUGCUAAUAAACAUCUAACAGAACCAGGAUGCUGUAUAUGCUAUCGCCUUUGUUUAGAACAGCAAAAACUCAUGCUGACCUAAACUGAAUGUGCCUAGUUUUGCCAGCUACAAAUGCAAGUUUUUCUUACUGUUAAUGGACCUUCAACCUCUGACCACACUGAUGGAUCAGCUCUGUCACCUCUCCCACUGUAUGCAGAUUUAUCAUAUCGAGGUAACUUCAUCUUCAAACCUGAAAACUUGAGAUGAAAAUAAAGUCAAAAUAAGACAAGCACAAAAAGAAUGGAAGAUAAUUGAAAAAAUUCUUACCUUCUUUUGUCAAUUUUUUUAGAGCUGUCAGGGUUUCAAUGGAGAAUGAAAGAUCAUGGCUCCCAGCAUUUCCGCGGAACUGGAACACAAGAAAAUUGUAAAGUAAAUGAAAAAAAAAAUUUAUUCUUUUUUCCCCUUAGUUUUCUGCUGCAUUAUAAAUAUCUUGUUAACGUCUUUUGUUUAUCAAAUAUUAAAGCAUGUGCUGAUUGCCACCUCUAAAAGCGCAUUUGCUGGAUUUGCUUCUCUCAGUUUAGCCUGGCCCUCUGCUGUCAAAUAAAAAUCAUCUAUUGAUAAUGUUGCAGACUUCCUGAGAGGAGAAGACAUGUAUAACACUUUUUAACGGUUCACAACCAACAAUUGAAAAAUUACUCAUGGACACAGUAUUAAUUCAUAGCAUUCACCUGCCAGUUUUUUUGAAGAGAUAAUCAAGAGCAAAGACAAGAGUGGUCUUUCCACAACCUUGGGGUGCACUAAAACCGAUCUAAAGUAAGCCAGAUAUCAGCAUCAUAAGGUUAAAAGUACAGGAUGAAAUAGCAUUUGUGCAUAGUGGCAUAAUUCAACAUAGAGAACUAAAACGGGGACUUGUGUUAGAAUAGAGAGUCACUAAAGAAAAAGUACAUAUUUACCACUAAAGGAGGUAUAUCUUCUCCAUCUUUAAACUGGGACAUAUGCUUGGAAAUCUUAUCUUCACACCAUAAAAACACUGGUAUAUAAUAGUGAUAAAACCUUGCUUUUUGAGGCUCUGUAAGGUACAAUUCAUUGAGCUGAAACAGUCGGCACAAGUGAAAACCAUAUGCUAACCACUUGUCAAUGGAGUCAGCAAUCUUUUCAGAGGUCAAGCCCAACUUGCUUAUGAGAGGACCUGAGCAAAUAAAUUCGUAGAGAUCUUGCACAGAAGAAACUUGUGCAGGUGUUGAGGGAAACACUGAAUGUAACCGGUCCUGCAUCCUUGUUUUGCAAGUUGAGUUUUGGUUCUUGGAAUUGUCUUGGAACCAUAAAUGUUCACUGCCUGGUUUUGAGGAAUGGGUAGGCAUUUCAGAGAGCUUAGAAGAUGGGUAAUUUGAAAUGAAUUUGGAUUUGGGUUGUGUAGAGAAACAAGGAAGAACACGGAAACGAUGAGAAUAAGGCAAAGACUUUAAUUUAAAACUGUGAUUAUUAUUAUUAAUAUUAAAAAUAUGAUCAUUAAAAUAAUAAGAAUUAUGAGAUAAGUAUUUGGGUGGCAAUUGUGAUAAGAUACUGAGAGCCGCCAUUCUC